CUUCCAGAUCAGAAUUAUUUCUAAAAGCACCAUGGGUGAUGUCCCAUGAUUCUAAAACACAAGCCAGGGGGAGAACCACUGCUGUUGGAGGUUCUCAGCCUGAAACACCCUCUUCUGCCUCCUGUUGGCCAAUCCAAAUUCGCCCAUACCUCAAGGCCCAAGCCAACUCCCAACUCCAGGCCAAAAUCUUUGCCUUCUGUGAUCUCCUUACAUUGACAACUGGCAUCACACAACAUAGCCUCUAAUUACAGAAAGCAAGAUACAGAUCUCUAAAUGCUUGUGUGACUGCCUGUACACCCAGUCUUUAGGCAAUUAGAUGAAGAGAGUAAUCUUCAUUUUCCUGAAAAAUAAAACACCAAGAGCUCUCAACUGGAUUAUUCAAAAUAAAAACGUUAUGCAUGCUAAUCUGCCAGUAACCAUGAGUUACAAUGAAGAAGAAUCAAUGUAACUGUACCUUAGACUGGAUUUUCUACUGUAUGGAAGUACAGAGUUUAAGUGAAAGGAAAUAAAAACUUCCACUCCUGAAGAGGAAAGAUAUUAUAAAGUUAAGACAGCAAGAGGACAACUGAGGAGGAAUACGAGGGAGAAUUUUAGGCUGUUGUUUAAAGUAGACAUUGCCAGUAUCCAUGUGGGCAGAAACCACUGCCACCUACCUACUCCUGGAAUUGGUCCUGUGUUUUCCCUGAACAUAUGGCAGAGUCAAGUGGCCUGGUAAGAGGGACAAGAAGUUAAAGUGUUGGUUAGAAGAGCAUAUCACUGGGUCAAGGAAGUCCCAACGCUCAUCACCUCAGUGCCUCCCAUUUACAAGUGGAAGAAUUUCUGAAUCAGGGUCCUGAGGAAUGCAGCAGGGAGAAAGGCAGGAAUUCUCACUGGUUAUGGAAAAAAAUUUUCUGAGUUGUAAGGGGCAAAGAUACAUAAAUGACAACACCAAGAAACAUUAUGCUGGCAGUGUGAUAGAGGAAAGAUCCUGAGAAAUAAUUCAGGUCCUUUACAAAACUGUUUUUCAAAAACAAAACAAAACAAAACAAAAACAAAAAACAAACACAAAACAAACCCAACCCAAAACCCCCAAAAAAACCUGCUUCUCAAGAAGAAAGUAUAUUUAGUGUGCAGGUAAGGGGGACAGUACAGGGGCUGGAGAAAGUAAACAGGAUGACGAUAGAAAGUGUCCCUCUCAUAACAUUCACUCAACACGGAAGUUCUAACAGCUGUGGCACGUAGGUAUACCAGCACCCUGUUACCUUAGAUGUUCUAACUUCUGAAACAUUGAUGAAUAAUAAGUGACAGCAUAACAGUUCAAGCCUUGACAGUGCUCAAAGAUGGGCUGUUGAGCUGCUCGUUCUAUCUCAAUUUAGGUUUAAAAAAUGGGCAAUUCACCAACAUGAAGUGUUGAAAAACGUGCAGUAUAUUGCUAAUAAUAUUUCAUAUUAGUUAAGUGUGCCACAUACUGCCUGAACACACAUUUCACAUCAAAAAGAAAAUACUCUUUUUGAGAAAACAUAGUGCCUGCUAAGGAGACAGGAAAUGAGAAAAGCAUUGUACCCUAUCUGGCUAUGAUUUCUAACAGAAUUUGUGGAAUCCAUAACGGUUGUUAAUAUGUGCUAUCAUAGUGUUCAAACAGGGACUGUUCUUUCCCAAACCAUUUGAAUAUCACAAACCAUUAGAAAUAUACUAAAUCUCGGUUUGGUAACCUUUGCCCAAUAGAAAGAUAAGAAAAUGACAGCCUCGUCUCUCCAAAUAUAUUAUGAUUCCUUGGCAUUUUUUAGUUCUGAGACAUUCUACGAUAGGAAUUUUUCCAGAUACCAAAUCUCACUUCUAAAACACAUCAAAAUAUUUAUAGCUUAUAACCUUUGUAUU
Long non-coding RNA from Canis lupus familiaris (dog), 1857 nucleotides. RefSeq lists it as uncharacterized. The transcript has 5 exons. The record is from RefSeq and is a predicted model, not a curated record. Lineage: Eukaryota; Metazoa; Chordata; Mammalia; Carnivora; Canidae.